AUGAGAGGCGCAAGCUGGGGCGGCGGGAAUGAGGAUUACAUAAGAAAGGAAAGUGACACCGUGGGAAGUGAAAACUGCUCUGGUCCUGGAAUCAUAAGACCUGAUUUGGAUCCUGGCUGUGUCAUGUACAAGCUGUGUGACCUUGAGCAAGUAGCUGAACAAUUUUAAGCUCCAUUUUUCUCCUCUAAAAAAAAAUGAAAGGUUUACAUUUUCCUAGUAUUGAUAGAAAAAAAAAUAGAAUGAAUGUGGUUUUAUUAUUUCAGCUGUGACUGAUGUUAUAUACCUGACGGCUAAGUUUCAACAAAGCCAAGAAGAGAUUGUGAAUGAGUUUUGGGAGUUAACACUAUGCUGUGAACUAACAUAUAUUCCCAUCUACUCUCUGACUACAACCUCAUCCUAGCUCACUUUGCCCUUUACAGUUGUCUUCUUUCAAUUCCUGAAACACAUCAAGGCAUACUAACCCAACCCUAGGCAUCUGCCCUGUUUUCUCCUCCUUCAAUGUCCUAGUCCUACUACUCCAUGUUGCUGUUUCUUUAAGUCAUUCAGCACUAAACCCAAGUGCAUCUUCCUUGGGGUAUCCUCCCCUAGUGUCCCAGGUACUGCUUACCACAUCAACUGGGUUCAUUUUCAUUUUUUUUUACUUUUUUCUAGUUGCUGUUUUCUUCAUUUGUUUGAUGUCUCUCUCCCCCAUCAUUACCAAGUAUAGAAUGUAGGCUCUAUGAGAGCAAGGAUCCUGUCUUGUUCUCUGGUAUGUCCCCAAUAUCUAGAACAGUACUCGUCACAUACUAGRUUCACAGUGUUUUUUGGAUGAGUGACAUGUGACAGUCUAUGUCACUAGAAGCCCAAGAUGCAUUGCAGCUCUCUCUCUAGUAAAUCAGAAUGAAAUCAGGUUACUUACAUGGUUUAACAUAAAGGAAAUGUAUACCCAAAAGAAAAGAUUAAUACUUCCUAUGCUCAUUAGCUUCAGAUUUGAUAUCCAAUCACAUCCCAAGUCCUUUUAUUUUGAUCUAAUAUCUCUCAGAUGAUUCCCUCUCUCUCUUUAAAACAUUACCAGUAACCUUUUAUGCCCACACUCAAAUUAUUCUCCUGACUUUAUUGUCUUUCUUUCCUUCAGACUAUCCUAGAUAGUAUUAUUAAAUGUAUUGCCUUAAAAUAAUAAAGUAGCAUUGAAACAAAUACCA
Molecule: long non-coding RNA, 1181 nt
Filed under: Urocitellus parryii (Arctic ground squirrel)
Lineage: Eukaryota; Metazoa; Chordata; Mammalia; Rodentia; Sciuridae
Description: lncRNA (ENSUPAG00010007869.1)
Source: RNAcentral